Triticum urartu is the source of this 108-nucleotide non-coding RNA. The record is from Rfam. Lineage: Eukaryota; Viridiplantae; Streptophyta; Magnoliopsida; Poales; Poaceae.
UAUCUUUGCGGGCAAUUAACAAUUUUAUUUACGCUUUUAUAUUAUUCAAGAAUGUAUUUAAGUAAAGAGUACAAAGCAGAUAUCUUCGCAGAGUUCGGAGGUGGAGCA